CAUUUGGAACCAGAGGGAGGGC
This 22-nucleotide non-coding RNA is filed under the name Rattus norvegicus (Norway rat). The record is from RNAcentral. Lineage: Eukaryota; Metazoa; Chordata; Mammalia; Rodentia; Muridae.